GUGGUGGGGGUGGUGGAGUAGUAGAGUGGUGGGGUGGUGGAGUGGUGGAGUGGUGGGGUGUAGUGAGUCACACAGUCAAACAAGCUCUGGACCUCCCGGACAAGCUGCCUGUUAGGUAUUAUACACAGACAGGGUCUAAGGCAGAGGACAAAGCUAAACUUAAAACAAACUCUAAAACAGAGGGACCAACCCGGUCAGUCUGCCUGUCUGCCUGCCUGGCUAGCUGGAAUGAGUCAUGCAGGUUGGGGAGGCCCCGGGAAAGAUGUUUGUUAGACCAACAGAGACACGAAACCCCAAUGUAGACCAGCUACUAGAGUUAACAGAGAGGAGACCCCACUGUAGACCAGCUACUAGAGUUAACACAGAGGAGACCCCCACUGUAGACCAGCUACUAGAGUUAACACAGAGGAGACCCCCACUGUAGACCAGCUACUAGAGUUAACACAGAGGAGACCCCCACUGUAGACCAGCUACUAGAGUUAACACAGAGGAGACCCCCACUGUAGACCAGCUACUAGAGUUAACACAGAGGAGACCCCCACUGUAGACCAGCUACUAGAGUUAACACAGAGGAGACCCCCACUGUAGACCAGCUACUGGGGUUAACACAGAAGAGACCCCCACUGUAGACCAGCUACUAGAGUUAACACAGAGGAGACCCCCACUGUAGACCAGCUACUGGGGUUAACACAGAGGAGACCCCCACUGUAGACCAGCUACUGGGGUUAACACAGAGGAGACCCCACUGUAGACCAGCUACUAGAGUUAACACAGAGGAGACCCCCACUGUAGACCAGCUACUAGAGUUAACACAGAGGAGACCCCCACUGUAGACCAGCUACUAGAGUUAACACAGAGGAGACCCCCACUGUAGACCAGCUACUAGAGUUAACACAGAGGAGACCCCCACUGUAGACCAGAGAGGGGAGGGUCUGAGGGAUUUAAUGAUGGCUAAUGUGACCCUGUGACUAGGAGGCUUCGGAAGCAUCAAAAUGGCACCCUAUUCCCUAUAUAGUGCUCUACUUUAGACCAGAGCCCUAUUCCCUAUAUAGUGCACUACUUUAGACCAGGGCCCUAUUCCCUAUAUAGUGCACAACUUUAGACCAAAGCCCUAUUCCCUAUAUAGUGCACUACUUUAGACCAGAGCCCUAUUCCCUAUAUAGUGCACUACUUUAGACCAGGGCCCUAUUCCCUAAAUAGUGCACUACUUUAGACCAGAGCCCUAUUCCCUAUAUAGUGCACCACUUUAGAUCAGAGCCCUAUUCCCUAUAUAGUGCACUGCUUUAGACCAGAGCCCUAUUCCCUAUAUAGUACACUACUUUAGACCAGAGCCCUAUUCCCUAUAUAGUACACUACUUUAAACCAGAGCCCUAUUCCCUAUAUACAGCACUACUUUAGACCAGAGCCUUAUUCCUUAUAUGGUGCACUACUUUAGACCAGAGCCAUAUUCCCUAUAUAGUGCACUACUUUAGACAAGAGCCCAAUCCCUAUAUAGUGCACUACUUUAGACCAGAGCCCUAUUCCCUAUAUAGUGCACUACUCUAGACCAGAGCCCUAUUCCCUAUAUAGUGCAC
Long non-coding RNA from Oncorhynchus tshawytscha (Chinook salmon), 1574 nucleotides. The record is from Ensembl. NCBI's taxonomy places the organism in Eukaryota, Metazoa, Chordata, Actinopteri, Salmoniformes, Salmonidae.